ACGGGAGGCAGCAGUGGGGAAUAUUGCACAAUGGGCGAAAGCCUGAUGCAGCAACGCCGCGUGAGGGAUGACGGUUUUCGGAUUGUAAACCUCUGUCUUUGGUGAAGAAUAAUGACAUUAGCCGAGGAGGAAGCCACGGCUAACUACGUGCCAGCAGCCGCGGUAAUACGUAGGGAGCAAGCGUUAUCCGGAAUUACUGGGUGUAAAGGGAGUGUAGGCGGGACUGUAAGUCAGAUGUGAAAUAUGCCGGCUCAACUGGCAGACUGCAUUUGAAACUGCGGUUCUUGAGUGAAGUAGAGGUAAGCGGAAUUCCUAGUGUAGCGGUGAAAUGCGUAGAUAUUAGGAGGAACAUCAGUGGCGAAGGCGGCUUACUGGGCUUUAACUGACGCUGAGGCUCGAAAGCGUGGGGAGCAAACAGGAUUAGAUACCCUGGUA
This 435-nucleotide ribosomal RNA is filed under the name uncultured Ruminococcus sp. Its description in RNAcentral is "bacterial SSU rRNA". It matches the Rfam family "Bacterial small subunit ribosomal RNA", at positions 341 to 792 of the family's 1533-position model. Lineage: Bacteria; Bacillati; Bacillota; Clostridia; Eubacteriales; Oscillospiraceae. The record is from RNAcentral.